Molecule: long non-coding RNA, 692 nt
Organism: Vicia villosa (hairy vetch)
Lineage: Eukaryota; Viridiplantae; Streptophyta; Magnoliopsida; Fabales; Fabaceae
Exons: 2
Source: RefSeq, a predicted model, not a curated record
CCCACAUCGGUAAUUAAAAUAAAUAUUCUUGCAUUUAUAACCAAAGACACAACACAGUAAAAUGUGUUCGUGAAAAGGAGAGAUGGUUGGCAUCUCCCCUGACAGGGAUGGGAACAGCUUUCGGGCUUUCCUGUUAACACAUCCGGUAAAGGCUCCCCCCUUGUGGGAUCUAUAACCCAAUUUUUAACCCAAUUUUUUUUCAAUCUGAUUCGCCAGGUGACAUCACAGUUGAAGGAAAUGGUUGGGAUUACAUAUUCAUAAAGAACUGUUAUUGUGCAUCUGAUAUCAAGAAAUAUGUGUCUAACACUGCCUACACUGUGAAAUCCAAUAAAGGGUUUGUGGAUGAUUUGGUUAUGGAUGCAUAGGAUGAGUUUAUUUUGCUUCCCUACACUUCAAGUAGGACAAGGAAUGGGGCUGUUAUAUCACUGAAUUUGUUUUGAGGCUGUUCCAGUGGACUGAGGAACUAUUUGUUGAGUUAUGUGUUGAGAGAUUGGAACAGUGUUGAAUCUUUGGCACGCAGAUCUGGGGUUAGUAAGGAUAGUAUUUAGGCUGUGAAAUGUGAAUGGUCUUGAUGGCCUGAUAGGAUUAGUUUUUCCUUCAUUGCAAUCUUAUUCAAUUAUUUUUCUUAGAAUUUGCCUGUUUGUAUGAUUAUGUAUUUGUGUUAAUAUGUUUGAGAGGGAUGCUUUGGUUGA